Branchiostoma floridae (Florida lancelet) is the source of this 504-nucleotide long non-coding RNA. RefSeq lists it as uncharacterized. The record is from RefSeq and is a predicted model, not a curated record. The transcript has 4 exons. Lineage: Eukaryota; Metazoa; Chordata; Leptocardii; Amphioxiformes; Branchiostomatidae.
GUUUGUCGGGCAAGUCCAUGUGUUGCUCUGGCCAGCUGUACGGAUAAUCCUCCCCCUGCCCUUGAUGCGACUUGUACCUGUAACACUGGAUAUACAGGGGAUGGACUCGUAAAUGGAAGUGGAUGUUCAGACCUAGACGCCUGUUCGGCUAAUCCAUGUGACGCCCAGGCCACCUGUACGGAUAAUCCCCCUCCUGCCCUUAAUGCGACUUGUAUCUGCAACACUGGAUAUACAGGAGAUGGUCUCGUCAACGGAACCGGAUGUGCAGACAUUGAUGCUUGUUCGGCUAAUCCGUGUGACGCUCUGGCCACCUGUACGGAUAAUCCCCCUCCUGCCCUUGAUGCGACUUGUACCUGCAACACUGGAUAUACAGGGGAUGGACUCGUCACCGGAAAUGGGUGUUCAGACACAGAUGCUUGCUCGGCUAAUCCAUGUGACGCCCAGGCCACCUGUACGGAUAAUACCCCUCCUGCCCUUGAUGCGACUUGUACCUGCAACACUGGA